Molecule: long non-coding RNA, 221 nt
Filed under: Homo sapiens (human)
Lineage: Eukaryota; Metazoa; Chordata; Mammalia; Primates; Hominidae
Description: LNC_000843
Source: RNAcentral
UGUACCUUCCAUGUGUAUCCAGAAUUGAACUUUAUAUGACCUUCACUGCCACCACCAAGGUCCAAACAACCAUCACCUCCUGCCUGGAUAGACUUUUUCAACAAGCUACAGAUUCUUCUCCAACACUCUGAAAUGCCUCUUCAGGGUCCCAGUCAGUGGUGGACAUGAACCAGAGAAGAGCAGUGGAACAGAAUGGAGAAAGAAAUGUGGAAAGCAUUGAG